RNAcentral lists this ribosomal RNA (1099 nucleotides) under Uvigerina phlegeri. Its description in RNAcentral is "SSU rRNA". It matches the Rfam family "Eukaryotic small subunit ribosomal RNA", at positions 1160 to 1828 of the family's 1831-position model. The record is from RNAcentral. Lineage: Eukaryota; Foraminifera; Rotaliida; Uvigerinidae.
AAGGGCACCACAAGAACGCGUGGAGCAUGUGGCUUAAUUUGACUCAACGCGGGAAAUCUUACCGGGUCCGGACACACUGAGGAUUGACAGGCAAUAUUAAUAUAUACUUUCUCGCACUCUCGAGUGUGCUGUAAAGUCAUAUAUUAUGUUAAAUAUGCUAGUCCUUUCAUGAUUAUGUGAUAGGUGGUGCAUGGCCGUUCUUAGUUCGUGGAGUGAUCUGUCUGCUUAAUUGCGUUUCACUAAGGGCCUAUACAAUUACGUAUGUUGUUAUUGCACUUUGACCCCUCCUUCGCGGGUGCGUGUGUCUUUGACUGCUUCAACUCAUACAAUUAGGUCCUGAAAGCAACGAACGUGACCGCAACCUCUUGUUGCUUUCGUAUACCCUUAUAACACAGUUAUAUUUUUAUUUUAUGCUUUACCGCAUAUAUACUAAUUUGCUGUGCAAGAAAGCUUUUUAAACUAGAGGGACCGCUGUUAUCUUCUUAAACCAGAGGAAGGUUGCGGCAAUAACAGGUCUGUGAUGCCCUUAGAUGUUCCGGGCUGCACACGUGCUACAAUGAUUAUUGCAGUGAGCAUCUCAUUUAUUAUACACCGCAUGCGCGAGUCCAUUUAUUCAUUUUACCUUCGGGUUAUGCUUUAAAUGUGUAUCUCUGCGCGCGGUAAAGCCUGCUUCGAAAGUAAGUGGGUAAUCAAUUAGAAGUAAUGAUUUCCUUUUUUUUCUGCACACAUAUAUACGGCAGCUAUACCCGGGUAACCUUGUUGUUACUUUUGUGCGUAUAGUUGUACCCUUUUUCCGUAUGUGCGAUUGUCAAUUCAUGGUGGGGACAGACCAUUGUUAAUUGUUGGUCUCGGUCUUAACUAGGAAUGCCUUGUACGGGUCUUUGGUUCAACAAACCACCCGGAAUACGUCCCUGCCCUUUGUACACACCGCCCGUCGCUCUUACCGAUGGACUUCUCUGUGAGUUUGAGGGACUGGGAACGCAUUGCGCGUAUAUUUCAUAUGCGCUCUGCACACCUAUGGAAACUUAAACGAACAGUGUGGUCUAAAGGAAAGAGAAGUCGUAACAAGGCAUCAGUAGGUGAAGCUGCAGAAGGAUCA